This 337-nucleotide unclassified non-coding RNA is filed under the name soil metagenome. Its description in RNAcentral is "partial contains 5.8S ribosomal RNA, internal transcribed spacer 2, and large subunit ribosomal RNA". The stretch from base 1 to 120 matches the Rfam family "5.8S ribosomal RNA", at positions 35 to 154 of the family's 154-position model. The record is from RNAcentral.
GAUGAAGAACGCAGCGAAAUGCGAUAAGUAAUGUGAAUUGCAGAAUUCAGUGAAUCAUCGAAUCUUUGAACGCACAUUGCGCCCGCCAGUAUUCUGGCGGGCAUGCCUGUUCGAGCGUCAUUUCAACCAUCAAGCCCCCCGGCUUGUGUUGGGGACCUGCGGCUGCCGCAGGCCCUGAAAAGCAGUGGCGGGCUCGCUGUCACACCGAGCGUAGUAGAUCUCAUCUCGCUCAGGGCGUGCUGCGGGUUCCGGCCGUUAAACCACCUUCAUAACCCAAGGUUGACCUCGUAUCAGGUAGGAAGACCCGCUGAACUUAAGCAUAUCAAUAAGCGGAGGA